UUUCCGUAGGUGAACCUGCGGAAGGAUCAUUGCAAGAGGGUUUGGUUGGUUGGUGGGGUCUUUUUGUCGGGUUUCCGACAAGGACUGCACCGCUCACCACGUUUACGCUUGUAUUGUUUGACAGAGUCUAUGCGCUUCAAGUAUAUACAACUUUUAACAAUGGAUCUCUUGGCUCUU
This 177-nucleotide unclassified non-coding RNA is filed under the name plant metagenome. RNAcentral's name for it is "partial contains small subunit ribosomal RNA, internal transcribed spacer 1, and 5.8S ribosomal RNA". The record is from RNAcentral.